AAGUCGUAACAAGGUUUCCGUAGGUGAACCUGCGGAAGGAUCAUUAACACUUUUAUCCUUUUAUCCAAACCCCAAUGUGAACUUGUCUUCUACCCCCUUCCCCAAUAGUCAAUUCUUCAUUGACUGACUUGACUGUUGGUAAAGGGCCCUCAAGUUUUUUCUUCUCUUUUCUCUUUUUCCUUUCCGAAGGUUAACAAGGGAUUAGUUGAAGGAGAAACGGUAUUCCUUUUCACUUCUUUAACUCCUACAAUCAACCUUAACUGUUGAACUAAAUCCAAUCGCUUCUGACUUUUUCCUUUUAACAGAGGAGAGAGAAGGCAAGUGAGUGAUCUUACGUAAUGUUUGAACAACUCUUAGCAAUGGAUAUCUUGGUUCUC
This 377-nucleotide unclassified non-coding RNA is filed under the name fungal sp. Its description in RNAcentral is "partial internal transcribed spacer region". The stretch from base 1 to 46 matches the Rfam family "Eukaryotic small subunit ribosomal RNA", at positions 1786 to 1831 of the family's 1831-position model. The record is from RNAcentral. Lineage: Eukaryota; Fungi.